Long non-coding RNA from Bos taurus (domestic cattle), 753 nucleotides. The record is from Ensembl. NCBI's taxonomy places the organism in Eukaryota, Metazoa, Chordata, Mammalia, Artiodactyla, Bovidae.
UCGCCUUCCUCCGCGGCAUUGGCGCUGGGUGGCGGCUUCCACCGCCCGAGGGCUGCCACUCACAGGCUAGGCACCCCCCGGCUGUAAAGUUUUAUUCGCCAUUUAGCAAAUUGAAAAUACACUCGCCUGCAAUUGGGGGGUGUUAAUGAGGAUCACGUCCAGGAGGGAGCUGCACACACACAGGACAGAAUCACAGAUUCCAGAGAUUAAAGACGGUGCCUGCCGAGAGUGUGGGUUUCCUGGAAGCCUCAGAGUCGCCCUCUGACUUGAUGAAGAAGAGAUGUCACUUCUCGGGGACAAGGAGCGACCGUCUGGGAGGUUAAGGGGACAGGCAUUGGAUUCCUGGACACGGACCUAAGAUUCCCACCUGCCUCGUGGCCAAAAAAAUGAAAAGGUGGAUUCCUUACUGUUCUGAGCCACCAGAGAAGCCCAGAAAUGGACAAAGGAAACCAUAACAGUUAGCUUCACUGGCUUGUUCUCUAUAAGAAAACCGGAUUUCACUUUCCCUGUAUGCUCGGUGGCUGUCCGGCACCAGGACUCCCAAGAAUAAACGCCUCCGGGUCCGGUUGGGAAAUACACAAAGCUUGAACAACUGGAAGUUCUCGGUUCACAUACUGUUGAAGCUGGGCUUGGAGACUUUUGAGCAUUACUUUGCUAGUGUGUGAGUUGUUUUUGGUCAUCAAAGCAUGUGGGAUCUUAGUUCCCUGAGCAGGGAUUCGACACGCACCCCCUACGUUGGAAGGUGAAGUCACA